GCUAAACGCGAAGAACCUUACUAAGGCUUGACAUGUACAGGAAAGUUCCAGAGAUGGUUCCCCCGCAAGGUCUGUACACAGGUGGUGCAUGGUUGUCGUCAGCUCGUGUCGUGAGAUGUUGGGUUAAGUCCCGCAACGAGCGCAACCCUCGUCUUAUGUUGCCAGCACGUAAUGGUGGGAACUCAUAAGAGACUGCCGGGGUCAACUCGGAGGAAGGUGGGGAUGACGUCAAAUCAUCAUGCCCCUUAUGUCUUGGGCUUCACGCAUGCUACAAUGGCCGGUACAAAGGGCUGCAAUACCGCAAGGUGGAGCGAAUCCCAAAAAGCCGGUCUCAGCUCGGAUUGGGGUCUGCAACUCGACCCCAUGAAGUCGGAGUCGCUAGUAAUCGCAGAUCAGCAACGCUGCGGUGAAUACGUUCCCGGGUCUUGUACACACCG
RNAcentral lists this ribosomal RNA (437 nucleotides) under uncultured bacterium. RNAcentral's name for it is "bacterial SSU rRNA". It matches the Rfam family "Bacterial small subunit ribosomal RNA", at positions 954 to 1392 of the family's 1533-position model. The record is from RNAcentral.